This is a long non-coding RNA of Magallana angulata, 510 nucleotides long. RefSeq lists it as uncharacterized. The transcript is spliced from 2 exons. NCBI's taxonomy places the organism in Eukaryota, Metazoa, Mollusca, Bivalvia, Ostreida, Ostreidae. The record is from RefSeq and is a predicted model, not a curated record.
AUUGAAAAUUGAUAAACGAAAAUGAUUAUCCCAGUUCGCUGCUUUACUUGCGGAAAAGUUAUUGGCAACAAAUGGGAAGCAUAUUUAGGAUUAUUGCAAGUGGAAUACACAGAAGGUGAUGCUUUGGACGCCUUGGGACUAAAGAGAUAUUGUUGCAGGAGGAUGCUAUUGUCUCAUGUUGACCUCAUUGAAAAACUUCUCAACUACGCACCAUUAGAAAAGUGAUGUACGGUACUAGCUGGCUGGAAUGUGAAACACUUAGAGCUUCUUGUGGAAGACUGUAUCUCUUGUGAAUAUUUUCUCUUUUGGAGGAAAAGAGAUAAAAGAUAUUGUGAAAAUGAUAUGUUUAUGUAUCAAAACAUGGGGCAGUUAAUGUUAUAAACUGUGUGAAUCUCUCACUAUCACUUAGAGAUCACUUAGUCAAUGUAAAUUAUGUGUUAUAAACAUACAUUUUGAAUGUAAUCAUUUUGUCAUUGUUCCUACAUAAAAACUUUCAUCAAGAAAUCGUUA